GAACGUCGUGAGACAGUUCGGUCCCUAUCUGCCGUGGGCGCUGGAGAAUUGAGGGGGGCUGCUCCUAGUACGAGAGGACCGGAGUGGACGCAUCACUGGUGUUCGGGUUGUCAUGCCAAUGGCACUGCCCGGUAGCUAAAUGCGGAAGAGAUAAGUGCUGAAAGCAUCUAAGCACGAAACUUGCCCCGAGAUGAGUUCUCCCUGAGACUUUAAGUCUCCUGAAGGAACGUUAAAGACGAUGACGUUGAUAGGCCGGGUGUGUAAGCGCAGCGAUGCGUUGAGCUAACCGGUACUAAUGAACCGUGAGGCUUAACCUUACAACGCCGAAG
Molecule: ribosomal RNA, 329 nt
Filed under: Klebsiella pneumoniae
Lineage: Bacteria; Pseudomonadati; Pseudomonadota; Gammaproteobacteria; Enterobacterales; Enterobacteriaceae
Description: partial 23S ribosomal RNA
Rfam family: Bacterial large subunit ribosomal RNA
Source: RNAcentral